This is a long non-coding RNA of Osmia bicornis bicornis, 790 nucleotides long. RefSeq lists it as uncharacterized. The record is from RefSeq and is a predicted model, not a curated record. The transcript has 3 exons. NCBI's taxonomy places the organism in Eukaryota, Metazoa, Arthropoda, Insecta, Hymenoptera, Megachilidae.
AGAAAAGUUGUCUUACAGAGAACCUUGACCUUUAAUUGAACUAGAUAACUACAAGGGACACCAUGAUGGCAUUAAUGAAACAUGAUUUUGAUAAUACCAUCAUUCUAUCCUACGUUUCUUACUUAAUUUCACUAAUACAAUACUGUGACACUUAAGUCGUUAAUUUCAAAGGUAAACAAAAAAUUCUAUGUUGUGAAAGAUUCCAUAAGGAGGAGAGUGAAGAAGAAAGGAAGGGAGAAGGAAUCCUGGCAAAAUAAACAGAAGCACGUGUGACAGAGUACUUCAAAUUACAAAGAAUUAAACUUCUCAGCUUAUAAAGAGCCUUGUAUGAAUGUCAUAAAUAAGUCAAUUUCUACAAAAUGCCAUAAACUACCAAGCCAUUUGUCACCUAGUCAUAGAAAGCGUAACAUCAGUAUAAUUUCUUAAUGAAUUAAUUGUCUAUUAGACAAAGUGAUGGCGGAAAAUGACGAGCACGUUUCGCAGGAAAAAUAAUUAAAGAAAGCCCGGUGGCAAUCGAAGCGCGAGUCACAGAUAAAUUGAAACUGGUUUCAACUAGCCACUAGUAGUUUGAUCUGGACUUGGUGAACUUCUUUUGAACCACUUUGGACUGUUCUUUGUUUUCUCUGGACAUCUUCAAAGUUACUUCUUCAUUGCUUCUCUUUCUUAAACUGAAUUUCAUAAAAUCAAUUCCUGGAAAUUUAAAGAUAGAGCAUAGUUACAGAAUCUGGAUGUUAAAGGGAUAGAAUAAUACAAAAAAGAUUAAAAGGAAUUAUUCCUAUUCUGCACACAA